UAAUAGAGGUGCAGAUGUAACAAUCAAAUGUGUUAAAUGCACAGUUGUAGCAAACUUUAGCCUGACUGCUACAUCUGUAUAUACCUGUCCACUAACACAUCUCUGCUGAUCUAUGUAGAUAACACUGCUACAUCUGUAUAUUCCUGUCCACUAACACGUCUCUGCUGACCUAUGUAGAUAACACUGCUACAUCUGUAUAUUCCUGUCCACUAACACGUCUCUGCUGAUCUAUGUAGAUAACACUGCUACAUCUGUACAUCCCCGUCCACUAACACGUCUCUGCUGAUCUAUGUAGAUAACACUGCUACAUCUGUAUAUUUCUGUCCACUAACACGUCUCUGCUGACCUAUGUAGAUAACACUGCUACAUCUGUACAUCCACUAACACGUCUCUGCUGAUCUAUGUAGAUAACACUGCUACAUCUGUACAUCCCCGUCCACUAACACGUCUCUGCUGAUCUAUGUAGAUAACACUGCUACAUCUGUAUAUUCCUGUCCACUAACACGUCUCUGCUGAUCUAUGUAGAUAACACUGCUACAUCUGUAUAUUCCUGUCCACUAACACGUCUCUGCUGAUCUAUGUAGAUAACACUGCUACAUCUGUAUAUUCCUGUCCACUAACACGUCUCUGCUGAUCUAUGUAGAUAACACUGCUACAUCUGUAUAUUCCUGUCCACUAACACGUCUCUGCUGAUCUAUGUAGAAAACACUGCUACAUCUGUACAUCCACUAACACGUCUCUGCUGAUCUAUGUAGAUAACACUGCUACAUCUGUAUAUUCCUGUCCACUAACACGUCUCUGCUGAUCUAUGUACAUAACACUGCUACAUCUGUACAUCCCCGUCCACUAACACGUCUCUGCUGAUCUAUGUAGAUAACACUGCUACAUCUGUACAUCCUCGUCCACUAACACGUCUCUGCUGAUCUAUGUAGAUAACACUGCUACAUCUGUAUAUUCCUGUCCACUAACACGUCUCUGCUGAUCUAUGUAGAUAACACUGCUACAUCUGUACAUCUCCGUCCACUAACACGUCUCUGCUGAUCUAUGUACAUAACACUGCUACAUCUGUACAUCCCCGUUCACUAUGAUGUCACCUCCUGGAGGUAAACAGGGCGUUCAUGUUUUCACGUUGUCACUUGUGUUCGGAGCCUGGAGAUGAUGGGAGUUGUGAUCCUGUCUCUGACUCUGUGCUGGUUACAUUGGUGUCAGGCCGCAGACGUAGUUCAGACCCCGCGGCUGAUCCUGGCCUCUCCGGGGGAUAACGCGUCUCUUCUCUGCGCUCAUGAGGACUCCAACUACCUGUACAAAUACUGGUACCGGCAGGAGACGGGGCGAGCGCUGCAGCUUCUGGGAUAUGCGUACAUCACAGACCCGGCCACCAUGGAGGUCGCUGAGAAGAGGAUAUCCAUGAGGCCGGACGGCGCGCAGAGAAAUGUAUUGAGUGUCUCUGAGGUCUCUGCUGCAGACAGCGCGGUGUAUUACUGUGCGAGCAGCACCACAGCGACACAGUGAGAGGGGGCGGCUGUGCAGAACUGGUGCCAGAGCAGCGCCCCCUGCAGGCAGCACACGGGCUUCCUGUGCAUCACCUUCUGGGGCGACAGCCGUGCAGACCAGUGUGAUGCGGUGUACGGUCUGAGCACUGACAGGCGGACCCCCCGGCCCAGGGGCGU
Bufo gargarizans (Asiatic toad) is the source of this 1670-nucleotide non-coding RNA. Lineage: Eukaryota; Metazoa; Chordata; Amphibia; Anura; Bufonidae. The record is from the annotation of a RefSeq genome assembly.